AGAGGGAAAAUUAUCACUCUCGAGAUAUUUUGGUGACAAUAUUGUGGAGCUCAAAUUCCUCUUGAGAAAUAAGAAUUAUAGAGUUUUCAAUGCUCCACGAGUGUGUAUUCACAUAAGGAUGUAAGGUCUAUAGCAUGGUACGGUGAAGCUAGCUCCAACAUACAAGUUCUUCUGGAUUUUCAAGACCGAGUCAAAGUCAAAAAACAAGGUUUAAGCAAUUAGAGCAGGGUAUGCUCAUUUUUCAUUCUCUAUGUGCUAUUAAAACAUUGGACAAAUAUAGCUAUCCGCUCAUAAAAUUUAUGCCAAAGCUUCAUUUCUAGGAACGAGAUGAAGUUUUGCGGUUUUUGAAUACUAAAUAUUGUUAUUUCCUUCUCAUGAACUACACGCGUGGUACGCCUUCUAUUUUUUGAAAGAUCUUUUAUCUCCUUUGUUGUUCAAGAGUGCCAUAACUUUAUUUUUAGGCCUUUUAUUCUUAUCAUGAAUAGUUUUGGAUCGUCUAAAAUGACUUUCAUUUUGUGAUCUGUUUUAGUUGGUGCGUAAAUGGAACAACAUAACAUAAGAUUGUAUAUAUUGGUGCACUUUCAAGUUUCAAUUGCAAAUGGGAGCACAUCCGUCUAAUGUACUUUAAUUUACUAUUUAAAGGAGAAGUUCAAAUAUUAAAUGUAACUUCAAUGAUCUUCUUUAUAAAAAGAAGCUCAAUUAUUUGUAGCUUUCAAUAUCAUGGAAGUUGUACAUUUUAAAUUUAGUAUAAGGGGCGUGUCAUGGAUAUCAAGUUCACAUUGCACCUCCAAGAUGUAUCUUUUGCAAUUUUAUUGCAUGACCUAUCUCAAGGCCAUGACCUUAUAAAUUAUAUUUUUAGACUUCAUAUUUAAUCAUUAACCAAGUAAUGUCAAGAGGAAAAAUUAUUGUUCUCCAUUUCAUUUAGUAACACACUUAAUCGAUUACACUUAAUUGAUUAGCAAGACUUGAUUUUUCUUAGCAAAAGUAAUGAUACUAGAUAUUUGAUCAUAUCAUGAUUUUACUUUAUAACCGCGCGAAGCGCGACAUAUUCACUAGUUUAUAUAAUAUUUGACUAGUUUCGGGUUGUUUGGCACCAAGUUGAGGAUUUAAAGCGUAUUUGUGGACCAGAAGUGAGCUUGAGAACGAGGUAAGUCUCUUGCCUAACCUUGUAAGAGGGAACUCACACCCUUAGAUAUAUUUUUAUUGUGAAUUACUUGUGUGGGGAGCUACAUACGCACUAGGUGACGAGAGUCCGUGCAUAGCUCUGGAUAGUCUUAGGACUACAUCAUGCUUUAAUUGUACUAUCAUGUUUGUUAUGCAUAUUAAUUAACUUGAAUAAAAAUGAGACUAGAGAUUUUAAAGUUGAAACAUCCAAGUUAGAUUUCUUAUUUUUGAGAAAGAAUUGAAGAAUAUUUAAUAACUUUGAGAAAUCCAUGUCCUCUCACAUCGCAAGUACUUCCACGAGCAAGGUAAACUUCUCUAUUCUCAUGGGAGCAGGCCGUACAACCUCGGCAUAAAUCGUGCGUGAUAAUACUCGGAGUCUAAGUAUACUUGAUAUUAUUUUAUGUCUUGAGAGGUUAUAAUUAUUCAAUGAAAGAAAUUGACUUGGAAUUUACUAUUAGUGAAAGAAUUAUUUAGUCAUUGCUUGUUAUUGAAUUAUAUUAUUAGUAUUUACAUAACUCAUGCUUAUUUAGAAUUUCUGUAUUUUAUUUGUUGGCACAUAGUAUGUGUCGAUAUCGACCCUUCGUCACUACUUCUUCGAGGUUAGAUUGAAUACUUACUGGGUAUAUGUUAUUUAUGUACUCACGCUACACUUCUGCACUAAUUGUGCAGGAUCUGAAGUAGGUGCAUCUGACAGUCACCCCGACGCGCACCCCUGGUACCCCAAGACUUAAUGGUGAGCUGCUUUCCGAGCCCGUUCUGCAGCGCCCGGAGUCUCUCUUUUGUAUUUAUUUUCUGUUUACUCUGUUUCAAACAGUAGUUUAGAGUUUUGUAUAUUCUACUUGUAGCUCAUACACUUGUGACACCAGGUCUUGAAAAAUAUGCUAGUAGAUAUUUGAUGACUUUUGAGUAUU
Molecule: non-coding RNA, 2075 nt
Organism: Nicotiana tabacum (common tobacco)
Lineage: Eukaryota; Viridiplantae; Streptophyta; Magnoliopsida; Solanales; Solanaceae
Source: RefSeq, a predicted model, not a curated record